This 253-nucleotide ribosomal RNA is filed under the name uncultured bacterium. RNAcentral describes it as "partial 16S ribosomal RNA". It matches the Rfam family "Bacterial small subunit ribosomal RNA", at positions 524 to 776 of the family's 1533-position model. The record is from RNAcentral.
UACGAAGGGGGCUAGCGUUGUUCGGAAUUAUUGGGCGUAAAGAGCUCGUAGGCGGUUUGUCGCGUCUGCUGUGAAAUCCCGAGGCUCAACCUCGGGCUUGCAGUGGGUACGGGCAGACUAGAGUGCGGUAGGGGAGACUGGAAUUCCUGGUGUAGCGGUGGAAUGCGCAGAUAUCAGGAGGAACACCGAUGGCGAAGGCAGGUCUCUGGGCCGCAACUGACGCUGAGGAGCGAAAGCAUGGGGAGCGAACAGG